UACGAAGGGGGCUAGCGUUGUUCGGAAUCACUGGGCGUAAAGCGCACGCAGGCGGAUCGGUAAGUCGGGGGUGAAAGCCCGGGGCUCAACCUCGGAAUUGCCUUCGAUACUGUCGGUCUCGAGUCCGGGAGAGGUGAGUUGAAUUCCUAGUGUAGAGGUGAAAUUCGUAGAUAUUAGGAAGAGCACCAGUGGCGAAGGCGGGUCACUGGCCCGGUCAUGACGCUCAGGUGCGAAAGCGUGGGGAACAAAUAGG
This 253-nucleotide ribosomal RNA is filed under the name uncultured bacterium. Its description in RNAcentral is "partial 16S ribosomal RNA". It matches the Rfam family "Bacterial small subunit ribosomal RNA", at positions 524 to 776 of the family's 1533-position model. The record is from RNAcentral.